UGGGGAAUAUUGCGCAAUGGGGGCAACCCUGACGCAGCAACGCCGCGUGAAGGAAGAAGGCCUUCGGGUUGUAAACUUCUUUGAUCGGGGACGAAACUGACGGUACCCGAGGAACAAGCCACGGCUAACUACGUGCCAGCAGCCGCGGUAAUACGUAGGUGGCAAGCGUUGUCCGGAAUUACUGGGCGUAAAGGGCGUGUAGGCGGGGCGGCAAGUCAGGUGUGAAAUCCCGGGGCUUAACUCCGGAGCUGCAUCUGAAACUGCUGUUCUUGAGUGCUGGAGAGGAAAGUGGAAUUCCCAGUGUAGCGGUGAAAUGCGUAGAGAUUGGGAGGAACACCAGUGGCGAAGGCGGCUUUCUGGACAGUAACUGACGCUGAGGCGCGAAAGCGUGGGGAGCAAACAGG
This 404-nucleotide ribosomal RNA is filed under the name uncultured bacterium. Its description in RNAcentral is "bacterial SSU rRNA". It matches the Rfam family "Bacterial small subunit ribosomal RNA", at positions 355 to 776 of the family's 1533-position model. The record is from RNAcentral.